Molecule: ribosomal RNA, 494 nt
Filed under: uncultured bacterium
Lineage: Bacteria
Description: bacterial SSU rRNA
Rfam family: Bacterial small subunit ribosomal RNA
Source: RNAcentral
AAAGGAAUUGACGGGGGCCCGCACAAGCGGUGGAGCAUGUGGCUUAAUUCGAGGCAACGCGAAGAACCUUACCUGGAUUUGACAUGGACAGGACAGUUGUAGAAAUACGAUUUCCCGCAAGGGUCUGUUCACAGGUGCUGCAUGGCUGUCGUCAGCUCGUGCCGUGAGGUGUUCGGUUAAGUCCGGCAACGAGCGCAACCCAUGUCAUUAGUUGCCAGCAGGUAAAGCUGGGCACUCUAAUGAGACUGCCCGUGUUAAGCGGGAGGAAGGAGUGGAUGAUGUCAAGUCCGUAUGGCCUUUAUAUCCAGGGCUGCACACGUGCUACAAUGGCUGUUACAGAGGGAAGCAAUGCCGCGAGGCGGAGCUGAUCCGUAAAAGCAGUCUUAGUUCGGAUUGUAGUCUGCAACUCGACUACAUGAAGCCGGAAUCGCUAGUAAAGGCGUAUCAGCCACGACGCCUUGAAUACGUUCCCGGGCCUUGUACACACCGCCCGU